RNAcentral lists this ribosomal RNA (300 nucleotides) under uncultured bacterium. Its description in RNAcentral is "bacterial SSU rRNA". It matches the Rfam family "Bacterial small subunit ribosomal RNA", at positions 28 to 323 of the family's 1533-position model. The record is from RNAcentral.
GAUGAACGCUAGCGGCAGGCUUAACACAUGCAAGUCGAGGGGCAGCGGGAUGUAGCAAUACAUUGCCGGCGACCGGCGCAAGGGUGCGUAACGCGUGAGCAACAUGCCCGUCACAGGAGGAUAAACCAUGGAAACGUGGCCUAAUACUCCAUAGUAUGUUUUGGAGGCAUCUCCAGGACAUUAAAGCUUCGGUGGUGACGGAUUGGCUCGCGUGACAUUAGCUAGAUGGAGAGGUAACGGCUCACCAUGGCGACGAUGUCUAGGGGUUCUGAGAGGAAGGUCCCCCACACUGGAACUGAG